This is a non-coding RNA of Pelobates cultripes (western spadefoot toad), 303 nucleotides long. Lineage: Eukaryota; Metazoa; Chordata; Amphibia; Anura; Pelobatidae. The record is from the annotation of a GenBank genome assembly.
GUGAAGCCAAGAAAACGCUGUAUAGAGCGAAGACCCAUAGGUCAAGGCCAAUGUAGUACAGCAGAAAGUUUAUCGGGGUCCAUAGAGAAUCCAGCAUCAGAAAUAACAUAGCCAAGAAUGUGACCUGUUUGCAGUUCACAUUUCUCCAAUUUAGAGAGCAGAUUAUUUUCUCUGAGUCUCUGUAGAACACGAGAAAUGUCUGCGUGAUGGUUUUCAAGAGAUGUGGAAUGGAUAAAAAUAUCGUCAAGAUAAACCACCACACAUUGCUGCAGCAUAUCUCGCAGGACAUCAUUUAUAAAUUCC